UACGUAGGGUGCGAGCGUUGUCCGGAAUUAUUGGGCGUAAAGAGCUUGUAGGCGGUUUGUCGCGUCUGCUGUGAAAAUCCGGGGCUCAACCCCGGACUUGCAGUGGGUACGGGCAGACUAGAGUGUGGUAGGGGAGACUGGAAUUCCUGGUGUAGCGGUGGUAUGCGCGGAUAUCAGGAGGAACACCGAAGGCGAAGGCAGGUCUCUUGGCCCUUGCUGACGCUGAGAAGCGAAAGCAUGGGGAGCGAACAGG
RNAcentral lists this ribosomal RNA (253 nucleotides) under uncultured bacterium. RNAcentral's name for it is "partial 16S ribosomal RNA". It matches the Rfam family "Bacterial small subunit ribosomal RNA", at positions 524 to 776 of the family's 1533-position model. The record is from RNAcentral.